GUGUUGGUGGUUCAGUGGUAGAAUUCUCACCUUUCAUGUGGAGACCAGGGUUCAAUUCCCAGUCAGGACA
Molecule: transfer RNA, 70 nt
Filed under: Loxodonta africana (African savanna elephant)
Lineage: Eukaryota; Metazoa; Chordata; Mammalia; Proboscidea; Elephantidae
Rfam family: tRNA
About the family: Transfer RNA (tRNA) molecules are approximately 80 nucleotides in length.
Source: Rfam by way of RNAcentral